UGGCUCAACCUCUGCUUGUUUAAGAGCUGCAAGAAGAAGGGACAGCCCAGUUCUUAUCACCAGCCCUCGAGAGAUUUGACAUCCUUGGCAUUGUAUCCCAAGAGGAAGGAAGUUUCUCACUUCCCCAGCUAUUUCAGUUAUAUAAAUCAAUUGUUGAGGGAUAGUUUCACUGGGCUGCACAUAGGAACCAAGGUACUUGGGCUCAGAUGGUCGCUGGAGAUCCUCAUCUAGGAAUUCAAACUGUAACGCUUGGGAAUUUAUCAGGAAUUCUCUUGCCAAGUCAGGAUCCUUUGGACUCAAAGCCCAGAUGUUGCCACCAAAUCCCGACCAUCCUCCUCAUUUUCUCCAGCCCCUUUGGAACUUCCCUGGCUUCCCCGCUGGGCAAGCGGGUUCCUUGGCAUAAAGAACUUACAAGGAAUUAUUGGGAACGGGGUGGAUUAGAAGAUGGACUUCUCUGGCAAAGGGAAAGCUGCUCUAGGCUGCAAGAACCAAUACAAAGAUGGAACAAGUCCUGACAAUCCCUCUGGUAGCUCCAUGAGCAUGAGGCCACUGGUUUCCUACAGCAGGCAACCGAAAAGCCACUAUGGCAGGAGUGGUUCCCAGCCCUCAGCUUGGCACUAACACCCCAAUUCCUGCUCCCGGCACGGCACAGAUCUGUCCCAAGCCGGGGAAGCUGAAGGAUGACCUGAUGUCAUGGCCCACGCAAGGAACCUGCUGUAAAAUGAAAGCACCAUCCCGACACAGCAGCUCACAUGUGGUGACAGCGUGUCCGUGUUCCUGGGGAAGCUCGUAGGAUACUCCACAGAGUAUCCCUCACAACUGGCGUGAAUGUCUUUGUCUUGCAAGUCUAGAAACCUAGUUGAUUAAAAGUAAUGCCUCCAGUGGCAAGGCAGGGAGGAUUCAGUCAUACAACAGCCAUUCCUGCCCUCCUUUCCACACGGAUUUUACAUGCUCUCUCCUCUAACGCUACCAAAGACCCGUAGUGUUUUCUCCUGUGAGUAAGAUGGGUCAAUGGAUUUGGUCAAUGUGAUUUAUUUUAUUGGGUAAAAGUACUUAUUAUCCUAUUCUGAAAGAAACUCAGGGCAUCUCUGUAUGUAACCAGCAAGCAGGUAGGGCCGCUGGCCUCCAAGAUGCUCCUCAGCAGCCAGCCCUACCUGUACACACGUGGAACGGCAGCUCGAUGCCUCCAGUGCUUCCUAAACCAACCCCACCACCUUGCUCCGAAACAAAGGGAAUUAGUCAGCAAAAAGGGUAUUCUUAGAGUGUGUCUUCUCUCAUUGUUCUUUGGCUGCAACAUCCACUUGUACUUUUGGUUGCAGAGCAGAAUUGUGAAACCAGAUACUGUGAGUCAGCCCAGAAGGGCAGCUGAGGGGAGCCCAGUGCGUGCCCAGCACGGGGGCCACCUCCAGCGGGCCAGGGGAGGUGAGCGCUCGUCACACCCCCUCCUCAAGAGCUUUUGGCUAAGCAAGAGUGCCAGAGCGAGGUUUCAGGCUAUGGCAGCAGCCCGCUGGUGCUGCUCAGGCCCUCACGUGGAGGUAAGUCAAGGGGUGGGAGCAGGCCAGAGGUUUCCAAACUGCUCAUUUGUAGCUCCCUGCUCCAGCUCUUGGCCUCAGCAGUUACACAGCUCCGAGUCCUUGCUCCACGGCACUACCCUACUACUAGGAGACACUUCGGGCUUCUCUCUCCUGCUCCCUCAAGAACGCUGCUAAAACUGUGGCUGUGACCCACCGAAUCCAUCUCCACUAUUAAAUUCCCUACCUGCCUUUGGGACACUGUGACGACACCAAACCAGCUUCUCUGGAGACUCAGCGGGACUCCCUAAAUUUACUGAAGGUACCGGGGUGGGAAGUGCUUGAUCUCCCGAUAGGGCUGAACUCCUAUCGGGAUAAGAGACAUUCAGUGAUACCUGCCUUUUCUUUUGUGCUGCAAUGAGCUUAACCUCCAGUGGCUCUGCCUCUUACGGAGACUCCUUCAAGCUGGAAACUGAGUAAACUUUGGAUGAAAACUAAUUCCCGCUCUUCAAGUAGCUUCCCAAUGCAAAGCUAGUGUGAUUGUGUCCUUUUUUAAAGACAAUUUGGUUUAACAAGCCCCCAACUGGCUGCUUAUAGACAAGUUUCUUCCUGCAAGACCCUCUGAAAGUGCUCAUGGCAACGGGGAAUGAAGAUGUUUAAAAGGAAGCCAAGUAGGAGACGUGAAAUAGCCGGCAGCAUCCUGCCUGCCUCAGGCAGGCAGCAGGAUGGAGGGACCACGGGCACACAGAGGCACUGGCAGCUUGAUUUGUGCGGUGCCAUCAGCUGCUUUACCCCUGGAAGAUACAGUCACUGCUGGAACAAGAUUGGGUUCAUGUAAGAUGUGUCAGGAAACUCUUGAGAAAGGCUGAGAAAAAGAAGUCGUCUGGACCAUUGAGAAGCUCAAUCUGCAGCUUAAAAGAAAACUGCUCCGUAAAAAUACACUUUUUUUUCCCUUAAAACUUCAUGUUUGGUGCAGUCAGAAUGACUUUCGCAUUUCACACAAGGCACAUUCAGCUAGUUCAGAUCAGUGCUGGUACCACUGAUGUCUGAGUUGUUCAGGAGUUAUAGUUAAGCAUCCUUCUCAGCCGAGAGCAAAAGGAAAAGCUUUUUCUUCCCUUCUACUUUGUUCUUGUUUGGAAUUUGCUCCUAAAACGCUGCAA
This 2671-nucleotide long non-coding RNA is filed under the name Strigops habroptila (Kakapo). Its description in RNAcentral is "lncRNA (ENSSHBG00005016029.1)". Lineage: Eukaryota; Metazoa; Chordata; Aves; Psittaciformes; Psittacidae. The record is from RNAcentral.